GGCAGAAUGGCUGAGUAAGCAUUAGGAUGUAAACCUAAAGACAGAGAUUAAAGUUCUCUUUUUACCA
This is a transfer RNA of Chlorocebus sabaeus (green monkey), 67 nucleotides long. It matches the Rfam family "tRNA". Rfam says of the family: Transfer RNA (tRNA) molecules are approximately 80 nucleotides in length. Lineage: Eukaryota; Metazoa; Chordata; Mammalia; Primates; Cercopithecidae. The record is from Rfam.